Fukomys damarensis (Damara mole-rat) is the source of this 218-nucleotide RNA transcript. RefSeq lists it as uncharacterized. NCBI's taxonomy places the organism in Eukaryota, Metazoa, Chordata, Mammalia, Rodentia, Bathyergidae. The transcript has 2 exons. The record is from RefSeq and is a predicted model, not a curated record.
UUCAGAAGUACCAGAAGAAGGGCAAGAAAGGCUGGAUGGCUGUGAAAAUAUCCAGGAGCAGUUUCUGUUAGUCAAGAAGAUCUGUGGCAUAAAAAUCACAGGUUGCAGGAGGAAAAUGCCAGGUUAAGACUGGAAAUAAAUGCAAUAAAAAAUCAAAGCCAGGGAAAGGAAAAGAAAUACCUGGAAGACAUUGAAAUUGCACAAGAAAAGACUGAUAA